GAUAUAUAUUAUGAUAUUUAAAUUAUGUAAAACUUACUACAAAAAUGUGUAUAUAUAUAUAUAUAUAUAUAUAUAUAUAUAUAUGUAUAUAUAUAUUGAAUUUAUACUUUAUUGGUUGUACAUUAGGAAUAAGGAUAGGGAUGCAUCUUCAAUUGAUUAGACAAAUACACAUACCACUUUUCUACCUUUAGACCAUUGGUUUGCAGUAGAGAAAUUAUGUACCUGCUAAAUUAAAAUUCAAAUAUCAAAUAGAGUUUUCAACCUGCAAUACAAUAUUUUUUAUUUUAAACUUAAUCAAAUUUGCAACAUAUUUUGAAGUAGUAGAUAUUGACAACUAUUUUAUACUAAUUUUGCUAUUAUCUGUUUUAAUUUGUUAUGAAAGAUAUAUAGUUAUUCAAAUAAUGUAAUAUUUCAAGUACUUUAAGUUAUAAAUUUGAUUUUCUAAAGCUACCCACAUAAUUUUAAGAUAUGUUUGGUCACAGCAACAUCACAAUUUUCUAUGCUGAUAACUAUUACAUAACAUCGAAUGAAAUGUCUUCAAAAU
Bombus pascuorum is the source of this 544-nucleotide long non-coding RNA. RefSeq lists it as uncharacterized. Lineage: Eukaryota; Metazoa; Arthropoda; Insecta; Hymenoptera; Apidae. The record is from RefSeq and is a predicted model, not a curated record. The transcript has 2 exons.